UACGUAGGGCGCGAGCGUUGUCCGGAAUUAUUGGGCGUAAAGAGCUCGUAGGCGGCCUGUCGCGUCAAUUGUGAAAGCCCGGGGCUCAACCCCGGGUCUGCAGUCGAUACGGGCAGGCUAGAGUUCGGUAGGGGAGAUCGGAAUUCCUGGUGUAGCGGUGAAAUGCGUAGAUAUCGUUUGGAACGCCAAUGGUGAAAACAGCUAGCUGGGGAUGCGCCGACGCUGAGACACGAAAGCCAGGGGAGCGAACGGG
This 253-nucleotide ribosomal RNA is filed under the name uncultured bacterium. RNAcentral describes it as "partial 16S ribosomal RNA". It matches the Rfam family "Bacterial small subunit ribosomal RNA", at positions 524 to 776 of the family's 1533-position model. The record is from RNAcentral.